This is a non-coding RNA of Macaca mulatta (Rhesus monkey), 936 nucleotides long. NCBI's taxonomy places the organism in Eukaryota, Metazoa, Chordata, Mammalia, Primates, Cercopithecidae. The record is from RefSeq and is a predicted model, not a curated record.
AUUUUCCUCCCUAAAAACAGAGUGGGAGAGUUUACUCAGGUGAAAUUCAGAGCAGCGCUCUUUUGCUUCAGCGUGCAAUGCUUGGUUCUAUCAGGGAGCGGAGCCUCCUACUGUGACUUGGAUAGAUACAUUCAAGUGCUGGCCGAGGCAGAGACUACGCAGACUGAAGCUGACUCUCAGGCAUCCUGCUUCAGCCAUGCAGGGUAUGCUUAGACCCAUAAAGGUUUACAUGAACAAGCACUGGGGCCCACACAUUAAGGAGAGACCCACCGAAGGGCUGUCAUUUCUUCAUACAAGACAGAGGCAGAGAGAGAUUGGACACAGAAGGGAGUGAAAGUGGCCACUGAGGCAAGAUUCCAUGCCGCUGGCUUUGAAGAAAUGCAAGGAAUGCAGCUCCAGAAGGUGGAAAAGCCGAGGAACUGGAUUCUCCCCUAAAGCCCCGGAGGGAGCACGGCCCUGGCUCAGGGAAAAUCGUCUCCAACUUCUGAUCUCUGGCAACAUAAGCAAAUAUGUGUUGUUUUAAGCCGGUAAGCUUUGCUAACUUGUUACGGCAGCCAUAGGAAAGGAAUACACCAAGUAGCUCUCACUCAUAAGAUUGUUUUGGGAUUUGAUGAGGUAGUGUAGGUAAAGCCCUUAGCACAGAGGGUGAAUUUACUAAAUGCUCAGUAAAUGUGAGCCACAUUAUGAAGACCCAGUGGCCCGGCCUCUUGGCCGUUUGACAUCCUCCAUCCCCAGACACAUAGCCCUACAUCCCAGUGUACAAAGCACCACCAACCUGAAUUGCCACAUCUGAAAAAUUAUCGCCUGUUUCUCGGAAGAUGUCUCCUAGUCGGAAAAUGGGACACUGUGGAUUCUGAGUCUUGUGGAAGGUACAAGUGAUGUUUAAACCAGGCAAGAUGUUUCUCCUGUGCAUAAUUAAAAGCAAACAAACAAACA